This 490-nucleotide long non-coding RNA is filed under the name Capra hircus (goat). RNAcentral's name for it is "lncRNA (ENSCHIG00010025390.1)". Lineage: Eukaryota; Metazoa; Chordata; Mammalia; Artiodactyla; Bovidae. The record is from RNAcentral.
CUCGGAGCCGGGGCUGCGCUCUCGGAGCCGGGGCUGCGCUCUCGGAGCCGAGGCGGGUGGCCUGCCGUCCUUUCCCUCCGGGGCCUCCUCGGGCUGCUCUUGCUGGGUCCUGGGCCGCGCACACCCCGGAUCAGCUCCCGGCGGGACCUCGCUGCCUUCGCAGUGAGUCUUUGGGCCUCAGGUGUGGCAGGGGCAGCCUUCUGUGAGAAGGCACUUCUGUGAAAUUGUGCAUAGUGACCAAAAGGCCUGAAGUUGUGAGCAAGUGGUUUCGCGCUAGGUGUAAAAGCUCCUGUUAUUACCCGAGCCCGUUACCAUGCAGUGCAGUCGGAAUUGCCAGAUCCUGGGCAGACAGAAGUUUGUCGACCGCCGCCUUGCACCUAGACGCUCAGUACGAAUGUACUGACCAAAUCUCUGGACCCACGUCCCUACCCAGGGAUUCAGUUCAGUUCAGUUCAGUCGCUCAGUCGUGUCUGACUCUUUGCGACCCCAU